Long non-coding RNA from Microtus ochrogaster (prairie vole), 676 nucleotides. RefSeq lists it as uncharacterized. The record is from RefSeq and is a predicted model, not a curated record. Lineage: Eukaryota; Metazoa; Chordata; Mammalia; Rodentia; Cricetidae. The transcript has 3 exons.
GCAGGGCUGGCCGCCGGGGCUUGGGGAGGCGGGUGGCCUGGGAGACUGUGACUGCGGCUAGGCCGAGCCCGCAGCCGCCGCCCUCGGUGCCGCCCGUUCCCGCAGGCGCUGUGCGGGGCGGGCGCGGGACUCACCUGCCCUGAGCCGCCGGCCGGAAGCGUCAGGCGGGGGGCAGGUUAAGAUCGGGAGAGUCUGGCCAUCAGGAAACCUCUGCUCGGGGAGGCACAGACACCUAAGUCUGGGCAGGGUACCGACGAAGAGAUGUCUGCCUUGACAAAUAACAGCAGAAAGUACUCGAGGAAGCAGAGAUACAGAAGAAAUGACAUGGAAGGCGGGAAUACAUCUGAGUAUAGAAGAGUCCGGAGAAAUCAUAGGACAAAUCGAGAUAGGCAGGGCUCACCAGGAGCAACUGAGCACGUGGAGAAUAAAAGGUGUUUGAAUAAUAAACGUGGGUGAUCUUCAGGAAUGAACGAAGCCUGAGACUCCCUUCCAAUAUUGCUGUGUAAACUGUGUCUCAUUAUUUUCCUGCGACUCCACACAGGUCCAGAGUGAGGAAAAAGUAGUUUUAUUUUGGGGCAUUGGACCGCAACAGGUCUCCACUAAAAACCAAAUUAGAUUUAAGUUUACAUCCACAUCCUUGUAUGUGUCAAAGGAUCUUCAUUUAGACAUAUGUACU